GACGAACGCUGGCGGCGUGCUUAACACAUGCAAGUCGAACGGAAAGGCCUUGUUCUUAUGGGGUGCUCGAGUGGCGAACAGGUGAGUAUCACGUGAGUAACCUGCCCCUUACUUUGGGAUAACUUCUGGAAACUGGGGCUCAUACCCGAUAUGAGCUCCUGCUGCAUGGUGGGGGUUGGAAAGUUUCGGCGGUUGGGGAUGGACUCGCGGCUUAUCAGCUUGUUGGUGGGGUAGUGGCUUACCAAGGCUUUGACGGGUAGCCGGCCUGAGAGGGUGACCGGCCACAUUGGGACUGAGAUACGGCCCAGACUCCUACGGGGGGCAGCAGUGGAGAAUAUUGCGCAAUGGGCGGAAGCCUGAUGCAGCAACGCCGCGUGCGGGAUGACGGCCUUCGGGUUGUAAACCGGUUUCGACUGUGACGAAGAGUGAGUGACGGUAAUGGGUAAAGAAGCACCGGCUAACUACGUG
Molecule: ribosomal RNA, 468 nt
Filed under: uncultured bacterium
Lineage: Bacteria
Description: partial 16S ribosomal RNA
Rfam family: Bacterial small subunit ribosomal RNA
Source: RNAcentral